Molecule: ribosomal RNA, 448 nt
Filed under: uncultured bacterium
Lineage: Bacteria
Description: bacterial SSU rRNA
Rfam family: Bacterial small subunit ribosomal RNA
Source: RNAcentral
AGCCAGACUCCUACGGGAGGCAGCAGUGGGGAAUAUUGCACAAUGGGGGAAACCCUGAUGCAGCGACGCCGCGUGAGCGAUGAAGUAUUUCGGUAUGUAAAGCUCUAUCAGCAGGGAAGAAGAUGACGGUACCUGACUAAGAAGCCCCGGCUAACUACGUGCCAGCAGCCGCGGUAAUACGUAGGGGGCAAGCGUUAUCCGGAUUUACUGGGUGUAAAGGGAGCGUAGACGGCGAUGCAAGCCAGAUGUGAAAGCCCGGGGCUCAACCCCGGGACUGCAUUUGGAACUGUGUGGCUGGAGUGUCGGAGAGGCAGGCGGAAUUCCUAGUGUAGCGGUGAAAUGCGUAGAUAUUAGGAGGAACACCAGUGGCGAAGGCGGCCUGCUGGACGAUGACUGACGUUGAGGCUCGAAAGCGUGGGGAGCAAACAGGAUUAGAUACCCUUGUAAG